This 409-nucleotide ribosomal RNA is filed under the name uncultured prokaryote. RNAcentral describes it as "bacterial SSU rRNA". It matches the Rfam family "Bacterial small subunit ribosomal RNA", at positions 355 to 776 of the family's 1533-position model. RNAcentral also lists the same sequence under 1 other name. The record is from RNAcentral.
UGGGGAAUAUUGCACAAUGGGCGAAAGCCUGAUGCAGCGACGCCGCGUGAGGGAUGACGGCCUUCGGGUUGUAAACCUCUUUCAGUAGGGAAGAAGCGAAAGUGACGGUACCUGCAGAAGAAGCACCGGCUAACUACGUGCCAGCAGCCGCGGUAAUACGUAGGGUGCGAGCGUUAUCCGGAAUUAUUGGGCGUAAAGAGCUCGUAGGCGGUUUGUCGCGUCUGUCGUGAAAGUCCGGGGCUUAACCCCGGAUCUGCGGUGGGUACGGGCAGACUAGAGUGCAGUAGGGGAGACUGGAAUUCCUGGUGUAGCGGUGGAAUGCGCAGAUAUCAGGAGGAACACCGAUGGCGAUGGCAGGUCUCUGGGCUGUAACUGACGCUGAGGAGCGAAAGCAUGGGGAGCGAACAGG